UACAGAGGGUGCGAGCGUUAAUCGGAAUUACUGGGCGUAAAGCGUGCGUAGACGGCUAUCUAAGUCGGGUGUGAAAGCCCCGGGCUCAACCUGGGAAUUGCAUUUGAUACUGUCAGACUAGAGUACAGAAGAGGUGACUGGAAUUCCCAGUGUAGCGGUGAAAUGCGUAGAUAUUGGGAGGAACACCAGAUGCGAAGGCGGGUCACUGGGCUGAUACUGACGCUGAAGUGCGAAAGCCAGGGGAGCGAACGGG
RNAcentral lists this ribosomal RNA (253 nucleotides) under uncultured bacterium. Its description in RNAcentral is "partial 16S ribosomal RNA". It matches the Rfam family "Bacterial small subunit ribosomal RNA", at positions 524 to 776 of the family's 1533-position model. The record is from RNAcentral.